This 326-nucleotide long non-coding RNA is filed under the name Ananas comosus (pineapple). Its description in RNAcentral is "long non-coding RNA (ACOM_LNC040047)". The record is from RNAcentral. Lineage: Eukaryota; Viridiplantae; Streptophyta; Magnoliopsida; Poales; Bromeliaceae.
UAGAAGUCCCAACAUUGCUUAUAUAUCAUGAUUGUGCAGCCGAGGCACAUUGACCCUAGUAGACAGGGUAUCCUCUUGUGAGGAUUGGAUCAUACUCACUAGUCUAUUUUUGCUUGUCGGUGGUCGCUCCACCGAGGCACGAGUCUCCGGAGUACUUCACUAGGGGCAGACGUAGUUGUCCCGCAGACGGUCUCGGUGUGCGAGUGCAGUUUCUCCUCACCUAUGAGAUUGAGAGUGAGUCGAGGGUUCAACCUUCGGGUUAACCAAGUGAAUUGGGUAAGAAACAUGAAAUGCAUAGUAGACUUGCAUUAUUACCUUGAGUAGAC